Molecule: non-coding RNA, 1660 nt
Organism: Cricetulus griseus (Chinese hamster)
Lineage: Eukaryota; Metazoa; Chordata; Mammalia; Rodentia; Cricetidae
Source: RefSeq, a predicted model, not a curated record
AGGACUCAAGAGACAAACGGAUCUCUGUUAGUUCAAGGCCACACUGAGCUACAUGAAAUUGAUCCAGUCUUAAGGAGAAACAGCUCAACACAAAGGUGGUCUCAGCACUUGGGUUCAAAUGCCUUUAAUCCCAGGAUUUGAGAGGUAUAAAAAGAAGAUUUAGUCUCCAGCCACCUUGAGGAGAGGUAGCAAUGUAGGAUUGCAGUCUGAGAAUUCAUGAAGGCAGGAUUGCCAUUUCAGCCUGAGGUAGAGGUAAGAUCUACUGUCUUGGCUGCUUUGCUUUAUCUUCAGUUUGGAGCUUGAACCCCAAUAUCAGUGGCAGGGGUUGUAUUGUUCAUGUUCCAGCAGUGAUACUGCCCUCCUACAUCAAUCAUUAAUCAGGAUCAUAUGCCACAGUUUACAAUCUGAACAUGAUAGUGGGAAAUAUAAUAGUGAUAAGCAGGUCUGAAGUUCAGCUGAAAUUUGGGAGUAAAGUCAUAAACUCCAGGAACACUGAUAAUACAAAUAAGGGAGCUGACAAAAGGGAUCACCGGCUGAGUCCUGGAAACGGAGUCACCCCAGGAUUCAGUGGAGAAUGGUGAAGGAUAAGGGAUUCUUGUCAGAGCAGGGUCAAAAGAAUGACACAAGGUGAACAAUGACUUGAACUGUGAGAGGCUCCAGGAAAAAAAGGCAGAGAGAGGGACUUUUACCUCAAAUACAUAUUGUUCCCUGGAUUGUUUUUGGACAUGAUUUUGUGCCUCCUGUUGCAAAUAUUUGCAUCAAUUUAUAAAAUCUGUUUAUUCUUAUUGGAUGUCGAAACAUAGCUAUAGAACCCAAUCUGGUGAAAGGAAACGCUGAGUGCUGUCCUCACUGUACCCCUAAUCUGGACAUGGCCUUUUGCCUUGCUUUUGUGUUUUACCAGAUAUAAUGUAUAGUACAUGCCAGGUAAUUUUUUUUUUAAUUGACUUGUCCUGAGAAAGUUCUGUUAAUAUUUAGUAUGUGCUUACUGGUGUUUAUUUAUGUUUUUCUGAACUCAAACAAUCUUCCUUGGAUCAUUGCUUUCCUUGUUACAUUCAUAUAUAAAAGUACACUGAAACUCCAGUAAGGUUGUCUAUAGCAUUAGACUGUAGUCCACCCCAUUUUUUCAGGUCCUCCAAUCCCAGACUCUCAGACAGAUCUGCAUAGGUUGGCAAAAGCUGACAAGUGGUGCCCGAAUCUGGGACCUGAAUGAAAAGCUAAGAGAGGACAUGAGGACCCCUGCAGAAGGAGGUAGUCAGUUGUCUUGUGGUUGAUGGAGAGGCAGAAAUACUUACUGUUAAGCAACUGCCAUAUGAGAAUGCUAAUGCUUCAUGCCAGACAGCAUUCAUCCCUUUUGGAAGAAAGGAGAUACCGAUGAUUACAACUACCUAUGUGCUGAAUUGGGCUUUUGCAUACUCAAGGCUAACUCUGGAUACACCCCUCCAAGGACAGACAAUGCCUCAAUUAUUGGCAGUCAUUCAACAAGGAAAAGGAAUGAAUAAUGACAAAUAGCCCAACUUUAUGUCAAAAGUUUGUUGCUGCUGCUGCUUUAAAAGAAGCUAAAGUACAAUUUACUCUGUCACUAUAUGUCAUAUGGAUGAUAUUCUGCUUUCUAUAAAAAGCAGAUUUGUUUACAAAAAUAAAAAUGAAUUAACUCUUUAAA